GAUGAACGCUGGCGGCGUGCCUAAUACAUGCAAGUCGAGCGAACGGACGAGAAGCUUGCUUCUCUGAUGUUAGCGGCGGACGGGUGAGUAACACGUGGAUAACCUACCUAUAAGACUGGGAUAACUUCGGGAAACCGGAGCUAAUACCGGAUGAUAUUUUGAACCGCAUGGUUCAAAGGUGAAAGACGGUCUUGCUGUCACUUAUAGAUGGAUCCGCGCUGCAUUAGCUAGUUGGUAAGGUAACGGCUUACCAAGGCAACGAUGCAUAGCCGACCUGAGAGGGUGAUCGGCCACACUGGAACUGAGACACGGUCCAGACUCCUACGGGAGGCAGCAGUAGGGAAUCUUCCGCAAUGGGCGAAAGCCUGACGGAGCAACGCCGCAUGAGUGAUGAAGGUCUUCGGAUCGUAAAACUCUGUUAUUAGGGAAGAACAUAUGUGUAAGUAACUGUGCACAUCUUGACGGUACCUAAUCAGAAAGCCACGGCUAACUACGUG
RNAcentral lists this ribosomal RNA (497 nucleotides) under uncultured bacterium. RNAcentral describes it as "partial 16S ribosomal RNA". It matches the Rfam family "Bacterial small subunit ribosomal RNA", at positions 28 to 507 of the family's 1533-position model. The record is from RNAcentral.